Molecule: ribosomal RNA, 253 nt
Filed under: uncultured bacterium
Lineage: Bacteria
Description: partial 16S ribosomal RNA
Rfam family: Bacterial small subunit ribosomal RNA
Source: RNAcentral
UACGGAGGAUGCAAGCGUUAUCCGGGAUGAUUGGGCGUAAAGCGUCCGCAGGUGGCUGUGUAAGUCUGCUGUCAAGGAGCGAAGCUCAACUUCGUAAAGGCAGUGGAAACUACACGGCUAGAGUGCGUUCGGGGCAGAGGGAAUUCCUGGUGUAGCGGUGAAAUGCGUAGAGAUCAGGAAGAACACCGGUGGCGAAGGCGCUCUGCUAGGCCGCAACUGACACUGAGGGACGAAAGCUAGGGGAGCGAAUGGG